Telopea speciosissima is the source of this 578-nucleotide long non-coding RNA. RefSeq lists it as uncharacterized. Lineage: Eukaryota; Viridiplantae; Streptophyta; Magnoliopsida; Proteales; Proteaceae. The transcript is spliced from 6 exons. The record is from RefSeq and is a predicted model, not a curated record.
UUGAUUUGAUAUCAGAGAUUCAUUCUUCGAUUGGAAAGUGCAGCUUUUAUCUUGAAACUAAACUAGUGAGUCUAGAAAAUCAUUAUUUGGAUGGAUUCGUUGUCUGUAAUUAGUGAGGAGCUAGCUGAAAUUGAUGGACAAAUUAUUGAUAUCUUCCGGGCUCUAUCAAAUGGAUUCUAGAAGUUGGAGAAGAUUAAGGACCCAAACAGGCAAACUAGGCAAUUGGAAGAACUUACAGAAAAGAUGAGGGAAUGGAAGAGGCUUCGAUAGAGAAGUGAAGGAUGGGGAAAGUAGAAAUAGUCCAGACACCAACAGGAUGCUCAAUGAGAAAAAACAGUCAAUGGUUAAGGAAUUGAAUUCCUAUGUUGCUCUAAAAAAAUAAUCUGCAAGUAAUCUGGAAAACAACAAGCAAGUUGAUCUCUUUGAUGGGCCUGAGGGGGAUGAACAGAAUGUCCUACUGGCUUCUUCUAUGACCAAUCAACAGUUAGUUGAUAGAGGAAACCAAACGAUGGAUGAGACUGACAAGGCCAUUGAGCGCUCAAAGCAGGUCAGUUACCCUCCUCAACACCCCACCUCCC